CUGACAGUUUGGCUUCCCUGUUCCAGGUGGCAAAGCCUGUGGGGUAUUCACCUACCUGCUGCAUGAAGGCAGCAUGGAGGGACUGUGGUGGAUUAUCUGCAAAGAUGGCCCAAAUUCUCUCAUCCCUGCAGGUACAUACAAGAUGGUGCCUGGUGUUCGAAGGGAGAACUUGUGGGCAGAGCAGGAAGCGUGAGUAUGGUUGAAGGAUCAAAUAUUUGGUUCAGGCGUCAGGGAGCCAGCAAGACUAUGAUGCUGGGAAACACAAGUGAUGUACUGUUGGAUUUAAUCUACUUGGAAAAAACCUAGGAAAACCAAAGUGUCAUCAACUAACACCUGAAAUGCCUCAGCACCAUCUGUCUACAACAUUAAACAAAACCCAGGAGAUUCUGGGAGAAAGAAAAUAGGAAAUUUAAUGAUGAACUUAACCUGAGUAACUUGAUAAAUGUUACCUUUGUGGCUAGCCGUUCACCAGCAAGUCCCUAAAAUGACCUGAAACCUGAAGAGUGUUUCACCCAUGAAAGGGUUUGCUCUCUCUGGCAUGGCUACCCAGCACAUGUUAGUCAACUUUCUUUCCCUUGCAGGGUCCCUUGGAAAACUACUUUUAAUCAUUCAUUAACUCAGCUCCACUCCUGCCCUUUCCCGUGGACCAUAUUUUCUUUGAGCAAUUAAAACUUAUAAGACACCAAAA
Molecule: long non-coding RNA, 688 nt
Filed under: Pongo abelii (Sumatran orangutan)
Lineage: Eukaryota; Metazoa; Chordata; Mammalia; Primates; Hominidae
Description: lincRNA
Source: RNAcentral